Maylandia zebra (zebra mbuna) is the source of this 326-nucleotide non-coding RNA. Lineage: Eukaryota; Metazoa; Chordata; Actinopteri; Cichliformes; Cichlidae. The record is from RefSeq and is a predicted model, not a curated record.
CAUUCAGGAUCCACGAUGCAGUAAAGAGGAGAGUUCAUCCUGGUUCAACAUGGCUCACCUAUGCACCAGUCCGACUUCUAAUAAGCCAUGACACAUUUCACGAAGCAGAACGCAGUCUUCAGAAAUAUCUAAGUGAACACUGUGAUACGUCUGACCUUCAGUCCGAAGCUGAAACUCAGACCAGUCAUAAAAGAAAGCACAAACCAAAUCCCCUGUACACAUAUAGUGACUCAGAGGAUGAGCAGCCCACAAAGAAAUGGUUUCCCCAGGCCCCUCGAGUGAAAAUACCAGGUAAUAAAAUACUGUCUAGUGUCUUUGUACAUAUC